UGGUGGCACGUACCCUUAAUCUUGGGAGG
RNAcentral lists this non-coding RNA (29 nucleotides) under Rattus norvegicus (Norway rat). The record is from RNAcentral. Lineage: Eukaryota; Metazoa; Chordata; Mammalia; Rodentia; Muridae.